AGAGUUUGAUCAUGGCUCAGGAUGAACGCUAGCGGCAGGCCUAAUACAUGCAAGUCGAACGAUAUUUUCCAGCUUGCUGGAAGAAAAAGUGGCGCACGGGUGCGUAACGCGUAUGCAACCUACCUUAAUCAGGGGGAUAGCCCGGAGAAAUCCGGAUUAACACCGCAUAAAAACACAGGAUAGCAUUAUCCAAUGUUCAAAUAUUUAUAGGAUUGAGAUGGGCAUGCGUGUCAUUAGCUAGUUGGCGGGGUAACGGCCCACCAAGGCGACGAUGACUAGGGGAUCUGAGAGGAUGACCCCCCACACUGGUACUGAGACACGGACCAGACUCCUACGGGAGGCAGCAGUAAGGAAUAUUGGUCAAUGGAGGCAACUCUGAACCAGCCAUGCCGCGUGCAGGAAGACUGCCCUAUGGGUUGUAAACUGCUUUUAUCCGGGAAUAAACCUCUUUACGUGUAGAGAGCUGAAUGUACCGGAAGAAUAAGGAUCGGCUAACUCCGUGCCAGCAGCCGCGGUAAUACGGAGGAUCCAAGCGUUAUCCGGAUUUAUUGGGUUUAAAGGGUGCGUAGGCGGCCUGUUAAGUCAGGGGUGAAAGACGGUAGCUCAACUAUCGCAGUGCCCUUGAUACUGAUGGGCUUGAAUGGACUAGAGGUAGGCGGAAUGAGACAAGUAGCGGUGAAAUGCAUAGAUAUGUCUCAGAACACCGAUUGCGAAGGCAGCUUACUAUGGUCUUAUUGACGCUGAGGCACGAAAGCGUGGGGAUCAAACAGGAUUAGAUACCCUGGUAGUCCACGCCCUAAACGAUGAACACUCGCUGUUGGCGAUACACAGUCAGCGGCU
Molecule: ribosomal RNA, 840 nt
Filed under: uncultured bacterium
Lineage: Bacteria
Description: bacterial SSU rRNA
Rfam family: Bacterial small subunit ribosomal RNA
Source: RNAcentral